RNAcentral lists this ribosomal RNA (253 nucleotides) under uncultured bacterium. RNAcentral describes it as "partial 16S ribosomal RNA". It matches the Rfam family "Bacterial small subunit ribosomal RNA", at positions 524 to 776 of the family's 1533-position model. RNAcentral also lists the same sequence under 1 other name. The record is from RNAcentral.
UACGGAGGGUGCGAGCGUUGUCCGGAAUCACUGGGCGUAAAGGGCGCGUAGGCGGCCGUGUAAGUCACUUGUGAAAUCCCGGGGCUCAACUCCGGGGCUGCAGGUGAGACUGCGUGGCUAGAGCACGGUAGAGGCGAGUGGAAUUCCCGGUGUAGCGGUGGAAUGCGUAGAUAUCGGGAAGAACACCGGUGGCGAAGGCGGCUCGCUGGGCCGUUGCUGACGCUGAGGCGCGAAAGCGUGGGGAGCAAACAGG